Molecule: transfer RNA, 67 nt
Filed under: Brumptomyia travassosi
Lineage: Eukaryota; Metazoa; Arthropoda; Insecta; Diptera; Psychodidae
Description: tRNA-Ser
Source: RNAcentral
GAGGGAAGAUGAUCAAGAAAAAGCUGCUAACUUUUAUCUUUAAUGGUUAAAUUCCAUUUAUCCCUUU